Molecule: ribosomal RNA, 1397 nt
Filed under: metagenome
Description: bacterial LSU rRNA
Rfam family: Bacterial large subunit ribosomal RNA
Source: RNAcentral
GGACCGAACCCACCUUAGUUGAAAAUAAGGGGGAUGAGGUGUGGAUAGGAGUGAAAGGCUAAUCAAGCGGGGAGAUAGCUGGUUCUCGCCGAAAUAUAUUGAGGUAUAGCCUCGGGUGAAUUGCCUCGGAGGUAAAGCACUGGAUGGGCUAGGGGACCUACAAGUCUACCAAACCCAACCAAACUCUGAAUGCCGAGGACAACUGCCCGGGAGUCAGGCAGCGGGAGAUAAGUUCCGUUGCCGAGAGGGAAAGAGCCCAGAUCGUCAGCUAAGGUCCCAAAAUCUAGACUAAGUGUAGAAGGAUGUGGGAGCGCUUAGACAACCAGGAGGUUUGCUUAGAAGCAGCAAUCCUUUAAAGAAAGCGUAAUAGCUCACUGGUCAAGCGACCCUGCGCCGAAAAUGUAACGGGGCUAAGUCUAGUACCGAAGCUACGGGAUCUCGCAAGAGAUCGGUAGGCGAGCGUCCUGAAGGAGAUACACGGUAGACGGUGACGACUACUAACGGCCUUCAGGAGUGACUAUGCGGGCAUGAGUAGCGAUAAACCGGGUGAGAAACCCGGUCGCCGUAAGUCCAAGGUUUCCUGGGGAAGGAUAAUCCUCCCAUGGGUUAGUCGAUUCCUAAGUCGAGGCCGAGAGGCGUAGGCGAUGGAAAGUAGGUUAAUAUUCCUACACCACCAAGGACGGCGUUGAUGUAAGCGGGGACGGAGAAGGAUAGCUCAGCAGGCUGCAUGGUUUGCCUGUUCAAGCCCGUAGGCUGAAUUGCUAGGACCCAAUAGGGACAAACGGCGAUUCAUUAAGGCCGAGAGGUGAUGAGGUCUAGCCCUAGGCUAGGACACUGAGUAAUUCCACGCUUCCUAGAAAAGCCGCGUACGGAGCCCCUUUGGUGAUCGUACUGCAAACCGACUCAGGUGGACGGGGUGAAUAUCCCAAGGCGCGUGAGAGAACCCUGGUUAAGGAACUCUGCAAAUUGACACCGUAACUUCGGGAGAAGGUGUGCCGCUGGCGGUUAGUGACUUCGCGUCACGAAGCUGUCGGUGGUCGCAGUGAAAUGGCGGUUGUGACUGUUUACUAAAAACACAGGACUCUGCGAAGUCGUAAGACGACGUAUAGGGUCUGAUGCCUGCCCGGUGCUGGAAGGUUAAGGGGAUAUGUCAGCGCAAGCGAAGCAUUGAACCGAAGCCCCAGUAAACGGCGGCCGUAACAAUAACGGUCCUAAGGUAGCGAAAUUCCUUGUCGGGUAAGUUCCGACCUGCACGAGGGCAUAACAACAUCCGCACUGUCUCGACCAGGGACUCAGCGAAAUUACAUUGGGGGUGAAGAUGCCCUCUACCCGCGGAAAGACGGAAAGACCCCAUGAACCUUUACUGCAACUUGGCAGUGAUUUUCGGGUUGUUCUAA